This is a long non-coding RNA of Eriocheir sinensis (Chinese mitten crab), 1156 nucleotides long. RefSeq lists it as uncharacterized. The transcript is spliced from 2 exons. Lineage: Eukaryota; Metazoa; Arthropoda; Malacostraca; Decapoda; Varunidae. The record is from RefSeq and is a predicted model, not a curated record.
GUUCUCAUAAGGUUUUCACAUCCAUAGAGCAGAAGAAGCCUUGUCAGACCAUCCCGAGGCUCAUAAAUCUACCCAUGGAAUACCUUCUGGCACUUUUAAGCUCUAACAACACCAUUUCCCAGGGCUAAAAUGGAGGUUAGUCAGGUUCUCAUAAGGUUUUCACAUCCAUGGAGCAGCAGAAGCCUUGUCAGACCAUCCCGAGGCUCAUAAAUCUACCCAUGGAAUACCCCACAACCACCUCCAUGAAAGCCUUAUGAAACGAAGGUGUGUGAGCCUUGAUGUGUUGGAGGAUAUGGCCUUACGGAACACAAAUUACUGAGUUACGUCUAGUUUUGGGUGCUUUAGAGAAACACUGAAUAACGAGCAAGCCAGAAAGGAGUUAGAAAAUUAAUAAAACUGCAUAAUAUCGCACACUCCUCGCUUAACUACGAGAAAAAGCACCCUGUUAAGGUCGUUACGUGACAACACCGAGAAUGCUCUGUUGGCGGCAAGAUACAAAACACCGAUUACUGGCUACGUCCAAGGUGAGGUGAAGGAAAGGAAAGAAAUAACCAAAAAUAAAGUUAAACAAAGUAAUAAAAACAAGUAUAAUGCAAGAUACAAAACACCGAUUACUGGGGAUUUAGAGGCAAACUAAAGGAAAGAAACACCCAAAAUAAAAGUUAAACAAAGGGAAAAAAUGAAUAUAAUGCUCCUUCACCUUUCUCAAGACAUUCAUUAACCAUCAAAAUCCACACAGAGAGAGAAUAGGAACCAGGAACGUAAUUAAUAAAGUGAAAUAACAACAACAACAGCGAUAAUGAUGAUAAUAAAAUGUAAUAAUAAUGAUAAAAACAGAAGACAGGUAACAAAAACAACAGCAAUAAUGAUAAUAAAUGACAAUUACAGUACUAAAAAAAUAACCAUGAUAAUGAUACUAAUAAAAAUAACAAGAAAAUGGGCAAGAAAAUUAAGAGGGUAACAAUAAUAAUAAUAAAAAUAAGAAGAAGAAGAAAACACAAGAACGGAAGGAGUCUGUAAAAUGUCAAUAAUAAUAAUAAUAAAUAAGAACAACAACAACAGGUAACAACAACAACAACAGCGCAUACCUUAAGAUGCGUCGAGCCGGCCCUAAUCUGCUCGAGAAGUGCCGAGCGCGUGUCUGUGGCCGCACCCC